Molecule: long non-coding RNA, 524 nt
Filed under: Felis catus (domestic cat)
Lineage: Eukaryota; Metazoa; Chordata; Mammalia; Carnivora; Felidae
Description: lncRNA (ENSFCAG00000046996.1)
Source: RNAcentral
AUGUCCCUUGCUCACAAAUAUCUCUACUUCCACAAGAGUGACGACACUCUUCUCCGCUUUGUCUUUACAGAUCUGUCGUUGAGAGCGCUUGGAUUUUCCACAGGUCCUUCUCCCCAGAUAGCUGGUCAUGUUGAUGUCUAGCAGUGAAGGCAAAGCCCCUGGCCAUAGUGAUGGAGCUUACAGUGUUGUGGACAAGCGGCACAAUGAUAAAUCACUUUAUUAUUUGCAAGUGCACCAAAGAAAACUAAGGUAGGGAAAGAGGCUAAGCGUGGUGUCUGAGGGAAAGUCAGUCUGAGGAGGUGACAGUGAGGCACAGGUCUGACUGAUGUGCAGCUCUGUAAUAGUCCAUGAAACAAAUGAACGAUAAUCCACAUGGCCACACACCUGACAUUAAACAUUUUGCUUGUUGCAAAUAUAUCACUAUUAAAACAUCGCUACUGAACACUUUGAGAGCCACAAGCAUUUUGAGCUGAGUGGGACUCACGGAGAAUAAAGCUUCCAGAAUGAGCUGAGCUAAAUGGAAG